Non-coding RNA from Rattus norvegicus (Norway rat), 360 nucleotides. NCBI's taxonomy places the organism in Eukaryota, Metazoa, Chordata, Mammalia, Rodentia, Muridae. The record is from the annotation of a RefSeq genome assembly.
AUGGAGAGGAACCUGGGAGCUGUGCUGGGGAUUCUGUGGGUGCAGAUUUGCUGGGUGAGAGGAGAUAAUGUCCAGCAGAGUCCUUCAGCUCUGAGUCUCCAUGAGGGAACCAAUCCUGCUCUGAGAUGUUAUUUUUCUACCUCCAUGAAGAGUGUGCAAUGGUUCCGACAGAUUCCCAGGGGCAGCCUCAUCAGUCUGUUCUUCCUGGCUCCAGGAACAAAGGAGAUUGGAAGGUUAAAGUCAACAUUCGAUUCUAAGGAGCGCUACAGCACCCUGCACAUCAGCGGUGCCCAGCUGGAGGACUCAGGCACCUACUUCUGUGCUGCUUUCAGAAAGUCACGGUGCUCUCAGAAAGCUUAA